CGCGCUGCGGCUGCUGCUGGGCUAACGGGCUCCGAUCCAGCGAGCGCUGCGUCCUCGAGUCCCUGCGCCCGUGCGUCCGUCCGCGACCCGAGGCCUCCGCUGCGCGUGGAUUCUGCUGCAGAACCGGAGACCAUGGCCAAACCAGCACAGGGUGCCAAGUACCGGGGCUCCAUCCAUGACUUCCCAGGCUUUGACCCCAACCAGGAUGCCGAGGCUCUGUACACUGCCAUGAAGGGCUUUGGCAGUGACAAGGAGGCCAUACUGGACAUAAUCACCUCACGGAGCAACAGGCAGAGGCAGGAGGUCUGUCAGAGCUACAAGUCCCUCUACGGCAAGGUAACCACAGCAACCGGAGGGCCCAUGGGGUGCGGGUGGAAGAAUGAUUUCAUUCACCUGUGUGCUCUUUCAGGUUAUUUCCUGGAUAUGGCACUCCAGGUUAGCCUGUGGGCUGACACCUUACCCUGCUCUUUUUCUUCUCAUCAGCUGGGUGUCUUUCAGCCUUUAAUACACCCACAGCACCUGCUGUAUGCUGGGCUCGUGCUAGGUGUUAGGGCUGCACUAGUGAAUAAGAUGGGUGAGGUGUCAACUCUGUGGACUGCCAGAUAGUGAGAGAGAUACACGGUAAACGAGGAAACAGACAGUGGUGGGGAAGUGGCACAGGGCUGUGGACUUGACCCUGCACAGCCGUUUGCUAGCAGCAUGACUUGGAGUAAGACCCCUGUUGUCUCUGAGCCUGUCUCUUAGGGUUGGUAACAGUACAUACCUCCAAGGGUGAUGAUUUAAUGAGAUUACUUAGCCCAGCACCUGCCAGGGUAAGUGCUCAUUAAGUGUAAUUCUUACUAUUGUAACUACUCUUCCUCUUUCCUCUUCUAUCUCCUCUUCUUCCCCACCCGCCAGGACCUCAUUGCUGAUUUAAAGUAUGAAUUGACGGGCAAGUUUGAACGGCUGAUUGUGGGCCUGAUGAGGCCACCUGCCUAUUGUGAUGCCAAAGAAAUUAAAGAUGCCAUCUCGGGCAUUGGCACUGAUGAGAAGUGCCUCAUUGAGAUCUUGGCUUCCCGGACCAAUGAGCAGAUGCACCAGCUGGUGGCAGCAUACAAAGAUGGUGAGAUGAGCAGGAGGG
RNAcentral lists this small RNA (1120 nucleotides) under Pongo abelii (Sumatran orangutan). RNAcentral's name for it is "retained intron". The record is from RNAcentral. Lineage: Eukaryota; Metazoa; Chordata; Mammalia; Primates; Hominidae.